UACGUAGGGUGCAAGCGUUGUCCGGAAUUAUUGGGCGUAAAGAGCUCGUAGUCGGUUUGUUGCGUCGGCUGUGAAAUCCCGAGGCUCAACCUCGGGUCUGCAGUCGAUACGAGCAAACUAGAGUGUUGCAGGGGAGACUGGAAUUCCUGGUGUAGCGGUGAAAUGCGCAGAUAUCAGGAGGAACACCGGUGGCGAAGGCGGGUCUCUGGGCAACAACUGACGCUGAGGAGCGAAAGCGUGGGGAGCGAACAGG
RNAcentral lists this ribosomal RNA (253 nucleotides) under uncultured bacterium. RNAcentral's name for it is "partial 16S ribosomal RNA". It matches the Rfam family "Bacterial small subunit ribosomal RNA", at positions 524 to 776 of the family's 1533-position model. The record is from RNAcentral.